CUACGGGAGGCAGCAGUGGGGAAUAUUGGACAAUGGGGGAAACCCUGAUCCAGCAAUGCCGCGUGUGUGAAGAAGGCCUGCGGGUUGUAAAGCACUUUCGGUUGGGAGGACUGCUUCUAGCACUAAUAUUGUUGGAAGUUGACGUUACCUUCAGAAGAAGCACCGGCUAUCUCCGUGCCAGCAGCCGGCGGUAAUACGGAGGGUGCAAGCGUUAAUCGGAAUUACUGGGCGUAAAGCGCGCGUAGGCGGCUAGAUCAGUCGGGUGUGAAAGCCCCGGGCUUAACCUGGGAACUGCAUCCGAUACUGUCUAGCUUGAGUACAGGAGAGGAGAGUGGAAUUCCACAUGUAGCGGUGAAAUGCGUAGAUAUGUGGAGGAACACCAAUGGCGAAGGCAGCUCUCUGGCCUGAUACUGACGCUGAGGUGCGAAAGCGUGGGGAGCAAACAGGAUUAGAUACCCGUGUAGUC
Molecule: ribosomal RNA, 466 nt
Filed under: uncultured bacterium
Lineage: Bacteria
Description: partial 16S ribosomal RNA
Rfam family: Bacterial small subunit ribosomal RNA
Source: RNAcentral